Long non-coding RNA from Saccostrea cuccullata (small rock oyster), 668 nucleotides. RefSeq lists it as uncharacterized. The transcript is spliced from 3 exons. NCBI's taxonomy places the organism in Eukaryota, Metazoa, Mollusca, Bivalvia, Ostreida, Ostreidae. The record is from RefSeq and is a predicted model, not a curated record.
AGCACAACAUAGUUCCUAAAUGCUCAGAGUUAUCUGUGCUUUGACAGAUUGUCUGAAAAAAGAUUUAGUGAUGUGGAUGAGAGAAUUUUGAAAUGUACACGAAUUGCUGAUUUUGGCAAUUGGCCUCAAAACAUUUGAAGAUGCUGUUGACUUUGGAGAUGAGUCUUUAUCACAAUUUGCUGAUCAUUAUGAAGAAAUGUUGAAAGCUGCUGGAGUAGAAACAUCACACAUUGAGUUAGAAUGGACAAACCUUAAUGAGCUGUUGUAUGAAAACCAUACAGUAUCCACCCUGACAUGCCAGGAAAUCAACUUUUCUAUGAGAAAUGUCCAAAUAUAUUGGACCUCUUCCACCUGAUUCUCUCAAUACCAGCAGGGACAUCAGAAUUUCUCAAAAAUGACAACAAUGAAAACCAAGUACAGAAACAAGCUGAAGAGUAUAACAAUGACUAUGCUCAUGGCCAAAAAAUCUACAUUCUUCGGAAAUUUGUGAUUUUGACCCAUCCAUUACAGUUGAUUUCUGGAAUAAAAACGGAUCCAGGAGACCAGAGUUUUUGCAAAGAAAGAAAAAGGGAAUUUCAUGUACCAGUAGUGCUGUUGUGUCUGAGAUUUUUGAGGCAUCAUGUAUCUGUGAAGGUGAUGUUUAAGAUCAGCCAAAAGGCAAUCCUGAA